AGCUGAUUUGAGAGGAUGAUCAGCCACAUUGGGACUGAGACACGGCCCAAACUCCUACGGGAGGCAGCAGUAGGGAAUCUUGCACAAUGGGGGAAACCCUGAUGCAGCGAUGCCGCGUGAGUGAAGAAGGCCUUUGGGUUGUAAAGCUCUUUCGUCGGGGAAGAAAAUGACUGUACCCGAAUAAGAAGGUCCGGCUAACUUCGUGCCAGCAGCCGCGGUAAUACGAAGGGACCUAGCGUAGUUCGGAAUUACUGGGCUUAAAGAGUUCGUAGGUGGUUAAAAAAGUUGGUGGUGAAAUCCCAGAGCUUAACUCUGGAACUGCCAUCAAAACUUUUUAGCUAGAGUAUGAUAGAGGAAAGCAGAAUUUCUAGUGUAGAGGUGAAAUUCGUAGAUAUUAGAAAGAAUACCAAUUGCGAAGGCAGCUUUCUGGAUCAUUACUGACACUGAGGAACGAAAGCAUGGGUAGCGAAGAGGAUUAGAUACCCUCGUAGUCCAUGCCGUAAACGAUGUGUGUUAGACGUUGGAAAUUUAUUUUCAGUGUCGCAGCGAAAGCAAUAAACACACCGCCUGGGGAGUACGACCGCAAGGUUAAAACUCAAAUGAAUUGACGGGGACCCGCACAAGUAGUGGAGCAUGUGGUUUAAUUCGAAGAUACGCGCAGAACCUUACCAACACUUGACAUGUUCGUCGCGACUUUAAGAGAUUAAAGUUUUCGGUUCGGCCGGACGAAACACAGGUGCUGCAUGGCUGUCGUCAGCUCGUGUCGUGAGAUGUUGGGUUAAGUCCCGCAACGAGCGCAACCCUCACUUUUAGUUGCCAUCAUUAAGUUGGGCACUCUGAAAGAACUGCCAGUGAUAAGCUGGAGGAAGGUGGGGAUGACGUCAAGUCCUCAUGGCCCUUACGUGUUGGGCUACACACGUGCUACAAUGGCAUUUACAAUAGGAAGCAAAACGGCGACGUUAAGCAAAUCCUAAAAAAAUGCCUCAGUUCGGAUUGUACUCUGCAACUCGAGUACAUGAAGCUGGAAUUACUAGUAAUCGCGGAUCAGCGCGCC
RNAcentral lists this ribosomal RNA (1054 nucleotides) under marine metagenome. RNAcentral's name for it is "bacterial SSU rRNA". It matches the Rfam family "Bacterial small subunit ribosomal RNA", at positions 285 to 1358 of the family's 1533-position model. The record is from RNAcentral.